RNAcentral lists this RNase P RNA (345 nucleotides) under chicken gut metagenome. Its description in RNAcentral is "Bacterial RNase P class B". It matches the Rfam family "Bacterial RNase P class B". From Rfam's summary of the family: Ribonuclease P (RNase P) is a ubiquitous endoribonuclease, found in archaea, bacteria and eukarya as well as chloroplasts and mitochondria. The record is from RNAcentral.
CUUGGGCAAACGCUGUUUCUUAAAAGAAAUAGAGGAAAGUCCAUGCUCACAAAAGCUGUAAUGCUUUUCGUGUUCGUGCCAAGGGAAAAAAUAACCUUGGGUAGUUUUAUUAAACUAACGGCGACGAGGUAUUCUAAGUCGUAAGAUAAGAAUAUAGUAGUUGUAAAGUGCCACAGUGACGAUUUCUUUUAGAAAUAAAAGAGUGAAACGCGGUAAACCCCACGAGUGAGAAACCCAAAUAAUGGUAGGGGAGCUUCGAGGAGGGAAUAAAAACUAAAUCGAGGACCGAGAAAUCGGUAGAUAAAUGUUUGCCACCUAGUAAUAGGUACAGAACAUGGCUUAUAA